CUCUAUAAAUAUCCCCCAAAACCCCUAAAUUUUCCCAUACAAAAGUCAAAGAGGUAACUUUAUCUUUUCUCUAUUCUUUUUCCUUUCUUUUGUUUCUUUCCUCCUUUCUUUUCUUUGGAUUCACGUAGAAGUACUACUACGUACUUCUUUUCUUUUUUUUUUUCUUCUUUUUCUUUCUUUUUCUUUUUCUUUCCUUUUUUUUCCCUUGUUUCCCCUGAUGUUGUGCGUGAGAAUUGGUGAGCAAAUUGCCACCUCAUGCAAGCUUGGUCCCAUGUCAUCAUACCGGCCCACUUUGCUGCCACUUCACCUCGCCGGCGACAACUCCGACCACCCGUACACAUGCCGCCGCCCCGCCGGUCGGCACAACCCACGGAGACUUUAAGUUGAGUAAUUUCAAGCAUUGUGGCUAGUUGAAAAGAUGAUUUAAGUGGGGACAAGUAGAGAAAAGCUUUCAGGUGAUGAAGCAUAUCAAGCAUAAUGGAGUUGAGCAAAGAGGGUUACAUGUUUCUUUAUUUAUUAUUUAUUGUAUUAAAUCAUUUAUGUAAUUGUUAACACUAACAUUAGUUAAUGUUUAUAUUUACUUUGGUUUAAAGGGCCUUUAAUGGUUCCAAGUUAUUAUUUUAGUGUAAGUUGGUUUAAAAAUUUAAGUUGAUUUUAUUAAACUUUAUUUCA
Long non-coding RNA from Chenopodium quinoa (quinoa), 672 nucleotides. RefSeq lists it as uncharacterized. The record is from RefSeq and is a predicted model, not a curated record. The transcript has 3 exons. Lineage: Eukaryota; Viridiplantae; Streptophyta; Magnoliopsida; Caryophyllales; Amaranthaceae.